This 863-nucleotide ribosomal RNA is filed under the name Olisthopus fuscatus. RNAcentral describes it as "eukaryotic LSU rRNA". It matches the Rfam family "Eukaryotic large subunit ribosomal RNA", at positions 406 to 944 of the family's 3401-position model. The record is from RNAcentral. Lineage: Eukaryota; Metazoa; Arthropoda; Insecta; Coleoptera; Carabidae.
UGUUCAGGGGUAAACCUGUGGUUCCCGAAAGUUCGAAUGAGGAGAUUCAAUUGCCUUACCGGGUUAUGAGCCAUGUAACAGGUGUCAUUUUGUGACAUUAUAUACGUUCUAUGGUUGCAAAACUAUAGUUUUGUUAUAUAGUGCACCACUGUUAUGGUUGUAUCGAAAUUCAUAAACGGAGGCAUGCACUUCUUCUCUAGUAGGACGUCGUGACCCAUUGGGUACAUUUGUCUAAGGCACAUUAUGGAGAUCAUGGUAUCAAAUUUUACGAUUUGUAUAUUUCAUGAACAUUUUUGUUGUCCCGACAUAUGCCUGAUGGUAGAAUUAUGAUAAUGAGACGUUAAAUUUUAUUUAAUGAACGUUCUCGAUCUAUAACAAAUUAACAUAUGAUUCAUAAAUAUGGAAACCGUAUUUUCAAUACGAUUCUGUACAUAUGUUAUUGGUAUGGUUAUAUGUAUCUCGAACUGUUUCUUAUUAUCAGUCAACGGCGUUUAUGUUUUGGGUAAUUACAGGACCCGUCUUGAAACACGGACCAAGGAGUCUAGCAUGUGCGCAAGUCAUUGGGAUAUUUAUAUGAAUCCUAAAGGCGUAAUGAAAGUAAAAUAUAUUUAUAAAAUAUAUUUUUUAUAUAUAUUAAGGGAAGAUGGGUAAUGAUAUACUAUAUUACCUCGCAUUCCCGGGGCGUCGCAUAUUUAUUGCAAAUUGCGGCGCACCAAGAGCGUACACGCUGGGACCCGAAAGAUGGUGAACUAUGCCUGGUCAGGAUGAAGUCAGGGGAAACCCUGAUGGAGGUCCGUAGCGAUUCUGACGUGCAAAUCGAUCGUAUGAACUGGGUAUAGGGGCGAAAGACUAAUCGAACCAUC